This 82-nucleotide transfer RNA is filed under the name Podarcis lilfordi (Lilford's wall lizard). Its description in RNAcentral is "tRNA.Ile". Lineage: Eukaryota; Metazoa; Chordata; Lepidosauria; Squamata; Lacertidae. The record is from RNAcentral.
UGUUCCAGGUUGGAAAGCUCAGUUGGUUUCAGCGUGGUGCUGAUAACGCCAAGGUUGCAGGUUUGAUCCCCGUAUGGGACAG